AACGAACGCUGGCGGCAGGCUUAACACAUGCAAGUCGAACGCCCCGCAAGGGGAGUGGCAGACGGGUGAGUAACGCGUGGGAAUCUACCUAGUUCUACGGAACAACAGUUGGAAACGACUGCUAAUACCGUAUACGCCCUACGGGGGAAAGAUUUAUCGGAAUUAGAUGAGCCCGCGUAAGAUUAGCUAGUUGGUGAGGU
This 200-nucleotide ribosomal RNA is filed under the name uncultured bacterium. RNAcentral describes it as "partial 16S ribosomal RNA". It matches the Rfam family "Bacterial small subunit ribosomal RNA", at positions 29 to 258 of the family's 1533-position model. The record is from RNAcentral.